UGCUUGGGAAUAUGCCUUUAGGUGGGGACGAACAGUUGGAAACGACUGCUAAUACCGCAUAUUGUCUACGGACUAAAGAAGGGCUUCGGCUCUCGCCUUUAGAGAAGCCCAAGUGGGAUUAGGUAGUUGGUGAGGUAAAGGCUCACCAAGCCGACGAUCCCUAGCUGGUCUGAGAGGAUGAUCAGCCACACUGGAACUGAGACACGGUCCAGACUCCUACGGGAGGCAGCAGUGGGGAAUAUUGGACAAUGGGCGCAAGCCUGAUCCAGCAAUGCCGCGUGAAUGAUGAAGGCCUUAGGG
Molecule: ribosomal RNA, 300 nt
Filed under: uncultured Gammaproteobacteria bacterium
Lineage: Bacteria; Pseudomonadati; Pseudomonadota; Gammaproteobacteria
Description: bacterial SSU rRNA
Rfam family: Bacterial small subunit ribosomal RNA
Source: RNAcentral